GGAGCCGUGCCUGAAAAAAGGGCCACUUUGAUAGAGUGAAUAACGAGGGUUAAAGCCCCUCCAGCUCCU
This 69-nucleotide transfer RNA is filed under the name Caulophryne pelagica (fanfin anglerfish). RNAcentral's name for it is "tRNA-Ile". It matches the Rfam family "tRNA". Rfam says of the family: Transfer RNA (tRNA) molecules are approximately 80 nucleotides in length. Their secondary structure includes four short double-helical elements and three loops (D, anti-codon, and T loops). Further hydrogen bonds mediate the characteristic L-shaped molecular structure. tRNAs have two regions of fundamental functional importance: the anti-codon, which is responsible for specific mRNA codon recognition, and the 3' end, to which the tRNAs corresponding amino acid is attached (by aminoacyl-tRNA synthetases). tRNAs cope with the degeneracy of the genetic code in two manners: having more than one tRNA (with a specific anti-codon) for a particular amino acid; and 'wobble' base-pairing, i.e. permitting non-standard base-pairing at the 3rd anti-codon position. Lineage: Eukaryota; Metazoa; Chordata; Actinopteri; Lophiiformes; Caulophrynidae. The record is from RNAcentral.